RNAcentral lists this ribosomal RNA (301 nucleotides) under uncultured bacterium. RNAcentral describes it as "partial 16S ribosomal RNA". It matches the Rfam family "Bacterial small subunit ribosomal RNA", at positions 509 to 807 of the family's 1533-position model. The record is from RNAcentral.
CAGUCGCCGCGGGAAUACGGAGGGAGCUAGCGUUGUUCGGAAUUACUGGGCGUAAAGCGUGCGUAGGUGGUGGUUUAAGUCCGUUGUGAAAGCCCUGGGCUCAACCUGGGAAUUGCAGUGGAUACUGGGUCACUAGAGUGUGGUAGAGGAUAGUGGAAUUUCCGGUGUAGCAGUAAAAUGCGUAGAGAUCGGAAGGAACAUCUGUGGCGAAGGCGACUAUCUGGGCCGACACUGACACUGAGGCACGAAAGCGUGGGGAGCAAACAGGAUUAGAUACCCCCGUAGUCCCUGUCUCUUAUAC